GAACGGGGACACNGAGUGAAACCUGGGUAGCCUCGCCGUACGAGUGCGACUGGAGGUGUCCCUGAAGCGUGCUUCCGGAGCUAACGCGUAAGUCGACCGCCCUGGGGAGUACCGCCGCNAAGGUAAAACUCAAUGAUNUGGACGGGGCCCGCACAACGGUGGAGCAAGUGGUUAAAUUCGAGCAAACGCGAAGACCCUUACCUACUCUUGACAUCCAGAGAACUUAGCAGAGAUGCUUUGGUGCCUUCGGGAACUCUGAGACAGGUGCUGCAUGGCUGUCGUCAGCUCGUGUUGUGAAAUGUUGGGUUAAGUCCCGCAACGAGCGCAACCCUUAUCCUUUGUUGCCAGCGGUUAGGCCGGGAACUCAAAGGAGACUGCCAGUGAUAAACUGGAGGAAGGUGGGGAUGACGUCAAGUCAUCAUGGCCCUUACGAGUAGGGCUACACACGUGCUACAAUGGCGCAUACAAAGAGAAGCGACCUCGCGAGAGCAAGCGGACCUCACAAAGUGCGUCGUAGUCCGGAUUGGAGUCUGCAACUCGACUCCAUGAAGUCGGAAUCGCUAGUAAUCGUGGAUCAGAAUGCCACGGUGAAUACGUUCCCGGGCCUUGUACACACCGCCCGUCACACCAUGGGAGUGGGUUGCACCAGAAGUAGCUAGUCUAACCUUCGGGAGGACGGUUACCACGGUGUGAUUCAUGACUGGGGUGAAGUCGUAACAAGGUAGCCAGUAGGGGAACCUGCGGCUGGAACACCUCCUAAUCUAGGAGGCAUUCGCGAGACCGGUG
Molecule: ribosomal RNA, 786 nt
Filed under: uncultured bacterium
Lineage: Bacteria
Description: bacterial SSU rRNA
Rfam family: Bacterial small subunit ribosomal RNA
Source: RNAcentral